RNAcentral lists this ribosomal RNA (400 nucleotides) under uncultured bacterium. RNAcentral's name for it is "bacterial SSU rRNA". It matches the Rfam family "Bacterial small subunit ribosomal RNA", at positions 355 to 772 of the family's 1533-position model. The record is from RNAcentral.
UGGGGACUAUUGGACAAUGGGCGCAAGCCUGAUCCAGCCAUGCCGCGUGAGUGAAGAAGGCCUUCGGGUUGUAAAGCUCUUUUGUCAGGGACGAUAAUGACGGUACCUGAAGAAUAAGCCCCGGCAAACUUCGUGCCAGCAGCCGCGGUAAUACGAAGGGGGCCAGCGUUGUUCGGAAAUACUGGGCGUAAAGCGCACGUAGGCGGCUUGUUAAGUCAGGGGUGAAAUCCCGGAGCUUAACUCCGGAACUGCCUUUGAUACUGGCAAGCUAGAGUUCGGAAGAGGUUAGUGGAAUUCCCAGUGUAGAGGUGAAAUUCGUAGAUAUUGGGAAGAACACCAGUGGCGAAGGCGGCUAACUGGUCCGAUACUGACGCUGAGGUGCGAAAGCGUGGGGAGCAAA